Molecule: ribosomal RNA, 295 nt
Filed under: Armadillo officinalis (oak-woodland pillbug)
Lineage: Eukaryota; Metazoa; Arthropoda; Malacostraca; Isopoda; Armadillidae
Description: partial small subunit ribosomal RNA
Source: RNAcentral
AAUCAUUUAAACAAAUUAAACAUUUAAUUACUUUUAAAACCCUUUUUUUUUUUUUUUUCAAAAGAAAUAGCAGUUUUUAUUAAAUUGUAAUCCACCUUAUCCUACUAAGGCUGCACCUGGAUCUAUUUUUUUUAGUUUUUUUUUAAUUUAAAUAACCUUUUUGAAAAGGUAUUUAUACAACGGUAUACAUACUUUUAGAAGGUAAGAUAUAUCGUGGGGUAUCGUUUAUUAGGCAGAUUCCUCUGAGAGUAUAGAAUGCCGCCAAGUUCUUUAGGUUUCAAGAUAGUAACUAUUA